This 764-nucleotide ribosomal RNA is filed under the name uncultured bacterium. RNAcentral's name for it is "bacterial SSU rRNA". It matches the Rfam family "Bacterial small subunit ribosomal RNA", at positions 706 to 1468 of the family's 1533-position model. The record is from RNAcentral.
AUACCGGUGGCGAAGGCGGCCCCCUGGACAAAGACUGACGCUCAGGUGCGAAAGCGUGGGGAGCAAACAGGAUUAGAUACCCUGGUAGUCCACGCUGUAAACGAUGUCGAUUUGAAGGUUGUUCCCUUGAGGAGUGGCUUUCGGAGCUAACGCGUUGAAUCGACCGCCUGGGGAGUACGGCCGCAAGGUUAAAACUCAAAUGAAUUGACGGGGGCCCGCACAAGCGGUGGAGCAUGUGGUUUAAUUCGAUGCAACGCGAAGAACCUUACCUACUCUUGACAUCCAGAGAACUCAGCAGAGAUGCUUUGGUGCCUUCGGGAACUCUGAGACAGGUGCUGCAUGGCUGUCGUCAGCUCGUGUUGUGAAAUGUUGGGUUAAGUCCCGCAACGAGCGCAACCCUCGUUGUUAGUUGCCACCCAGCCGCAAGGUUGGAGCACUCUGACAAGACUGCCCCGGUUAACGGGGAGGAAGGUGGGGACGACGUCAAAUCAUCAUGGCCCUUACGGCCAGGGCUACACACGUGUUACAAUGGGCGCCACAACGGGAUGCAACUGCGCAAGUAGUAGCCAACCCCUUAAAAGCGAUCUCAGUUCAGAUCGUAGGCUGCAACUCGCCUACGUGAAGUCGGAAUCGCUAGUAAAUGCAGAUCAGCACGCUGCAUUGAAUACGUUCCCGGGUCUUGUACACACCGCCCGUCACACCAUGGAAGUUGGUGACGCCCAAAGUCGAUAUCUAACCGCAAGGGGGAAAUGCUAAGGCAGCGC